UGCAAGUCGAGGGGCAGCAUAAUGGAUAGCAAUAUCUAUGGUGGCGACCGGCGCACGGGUGCGUAACGCGUAUGCAACCUACCUUUAACAGGGGGAUAACACUGAGAAAUUGGUACUAAUACCCCAUAAUAUCAUAGAAGGCAUCUUUUAUGGUUGAAAAUUCCGAUGGUUAGAGAUGGGCAUGCGUUGUAUUAGCUAGUUGGUGGGGUAACGGCUCACCAAGGCGACGAUACAUAGGGGGACUGAGAGGUUAACCCCCCACACUGGUACUGAGACACGGACCAGACUCCUACGGGAGGCAGCAGUGAGGAAUAUUGGUCAAUGGACGCAAGUCUGAACCAGCCAUGCCGCGUGCAGGAUGACGGCUCUAUGAGUUGUAAACUGCUUUUGUACGAGGGUAAACGCAGAUACGUGUAUCUGUCUGAAAGUAUCGUACGAAUAAGGAUCGGCUAACUCCGUGCCAGCAGCCGCGGUAAUACGGAGGAUUCAAGCGUUAUCCGGAUUUAUUGGGUUUAAAGGGUGCGUAGGCGGUUUGAUAAGUUAGAGGUGAAAUUUCGGGGCUCAACCCUGAACGUACCUCUAAUACUGUUGAGCUAGAGAGUAGUUGCGGUAGGCGGAAUGUAUGGUGUAGCGGUGAAAUGCUUAGAGAUCAUACAGAACACCGAUUGCGAAGGCAGCUUACCAAACUAUAUCUGACGUUGAGGCACGAAAGCGUGGGGAGCAAACAGGAUUAGAUACCCUGGUAGUCCACGCAGUAAACGAUGAUAACUCGUUGUCGGCGAUACACAGUCGGUGACUAAGCGAAAGCGAUAAGUUAUCCACCUGGGG
RNAcentral lists this ribosomal RNA (828 nucleotides) under uncultured bacterium. RNAcentral describes it as "bacterial SSU rRNA". It matches the Rfam family "Bacterial small subunit ribosomal RNA", at positions 56 to 878 of the family's 1533-position model. The record is from RNAcentral.